GCUGAAGUUUUCUGUUUCUGUUGGUUGUGUCUAGUUUUCGGUUGUUUUUCGGUUUUCCUGUCAGCCUGUGUGUGUCUGUGUGUGUCUGUGUGUGUCUGUGUGUGUCUGUGUGUGUCUGUGUGUGUCUGUGUGUGUGUCUGUGUGUGUCUGUGUGUGUGUCUGUGUGUGUUUGUGUGUGUUUGUGUGUGUUUGUGUCUGUGUGUGUCUGUGUGUGUGUGUUUGUGUGUGUCUGUGUGUGUGUUUGUGUGUGUGUGUUUGUGUGUUUGUGUCUGUGUGUGCGUCUGUGUGUGUCUGUGUGUGUUUGUGUGUUUGUCUCCAGUCUUUAUACAAAUCUUAUCGGUAUUUCCGCGUUUCUUUCUCCACUUCCUCAAACCAACUUUGUUCAGUAACGUUGUUCUUAUUCAACAGGAGAGUCUCUGUGAUGACGCUCGGCUCAAACAGCGUAUCCCUCGGUGAUCUCCUCAAUCUCUGUCCUCCCAUUGGCUGUAUCAGGUGUCAAUCAUAGAAAACAUGAACCCCCUAAUAACUUUUAAAAAUGGAGCUGUACAGAAAAAAGAGGACUUGAGCACAAACCAGUCUGACAGUAACUACAUGUCAACAUCACAACCAGGGGGGAGAAACAUUUAUAUUCUGUGUCAUUCAUUUAGAAAGUUUGUCCACAGCUCCAUAAGGAGGCGGGGUUUAGGACCUAUACUGCAGCCCGUCACCAGAGGGCGCUGUUCUCACAGAGAGGAGGAGGCAGACGGCGUCUGUUCUAGAUACAGUCUCUGGUUCUGAAGACGAAGUAUCUGUUAUCGUCUGCAAACACACUUCCUGUGUGUGUGUGUGUGUGUGUGUGUGUCCCUGUGUGUGUGUGUGUGUCCCUGUGUGUGUGUGUGUGUGUGUGUCCCUGUGUUGUAUAUUAUAUAGUGUGAAUCAGCCCCCCCCCCCACCCUUUGUUCUUCUCUGUCUGGACCUGGACUCGGACUGAUCCCGGUCCCUCGACUCCAAACUCUUCCAGGAUUUUCCAGGACCCUCAGAUUAGUCCAGGCCCUCUCUGAUGUCUUUUCCAGGAGAAGAGGCUGACGGGGGACGAGUCCAGAGAUGAACACGUCCAACAUCCAGAGACAUGUCCACACACACACACACACAGAAUAAGGACAAAGAGCAUCCUCAGGUCUCAUCGUCACUGAUUUUAUUUACAGUUUUAUUUGUUUUAUUUGUUAAUUUUUAAAGGGUUUUUACUAAAAUAAUCGUCAUCGUUGUCUCUUUGAUUCUUUCUCCUACAGCUCUGAGUUUUUCUCUCUGAAUAAAAGUUCAAUAAUAGUUAUAAGAAUAUUAAGGGUUUUAUAUAUUAAUAAUUCAAUAAUAAUAAUAUUUAUUUAUAUCUUUUUAUAAUCUAUUAAUAAUAAAGUUGUUUAUUUAUAUCGGAAUCAAUUAUUAUUUUUAAAAUAAUAAUUAUUGUACUUUAAUAAUAUUUUUAAAAAUAGUAAUUAUUUGUAAAUAAUAAAAUUCAUUUCUAUAGUAAUAAUUAAAUAUUGAUAUCUGAUGAAGUUUUUCUGUUUCUUUUGUUUCAUAGUUUCUGUUUUUUUUCUCUCCAUAUUUCACAGUUUAAUCCCUCUGUGCCUGUGUGUGUGUGUGUCUGACUGAGCCUGUCACCGUGGUAACAGAUUUACAUACUGGGUCCCUGAUGGGACGUCCGAGGACAACAUCACAUGACCCCCCCCCCUCGUGUCACUGCGUCUGUUUUAUUUCCUCUAAAAGUUCAAAGUGACAAACCGUCUUUUCCUCUUCCUGUGACAGUGUGUGUGUGUGUGUGUGUGUGUGUGUGUGUGUGUGUGUGUGUGCAUGUGUGUGUGUGUGUGUGUGUGUGUAACAUAUCUGUUCCUCUGUUGUUGUUGUUUUUGUUGUUGUUGUUGUUUUAAACUGUUUGUUUGAAGGUCGGUGCAGCGUCACAGGUGAAGGAUCUCUCUCUCUCUCUCUCAGGGGUCUGUUCUAUGAAGCGAGUUCAACUUAGCGAGGUCGCCAGCGGUCUCACUAAACGGUCUUACGACGCUGGUCAUCAACCUCGUAAGAGGAUCCAGCUUUGCUAUGAGCGCGUGCAUGCAUGUAAGGUGGAGCCCGCCGCAUCUGACCAAUCGUGAACAUGGACCGGUCUGGAGCGUCAGAGCAGGCCGGAGAGCGAAGGACCGCGGACUUUACAAACGAGGAGCAGGAGACGAUCAUGAGAAAGUCUGAAGAAUUCAAAUCUGUCAUAAACCUCAAAAACAACGCCGUCACCGUCACCGUCACCGCCGCAGAAGAGCGGAGGGAACGCUGGCAGGAAAUGGCCGACAGUCAAUGUGGAAGUAUAGAGCGCCAAAAAUCUUUGAUGUGGUCAUCACCCUGAAACAGCGCUUUUCAACACGCGCUUUAACUACGGCGAGCAGACAUGUCUGAUUCAUUUCCAGGAUGAAUUCAUUCAUGUGUUCAUUCCUAUCGUGGUCACAUGUUUUGUCUGUCGGCCAUAUUAGCCUUUCAUAAAGGAGGUCAUCCGGAGGAGGAAGUGGGUCCGUGCGGUCCCUGAAAACUCUCACGCGCCGGAGUGCUCCUCCUCGGACAACGCGAGCACCGAGGUCUACAGGAUCCUCCAAGAACGGACACGCCGUUUUUCCAGAGAGCUCAUUGGUCAGUGGGCGGGGUUUUUAUACUCAUUAGUUCAAUCUGGAACUUAACCUGCCCUGGAGCAGGUUAGCCGUUCAGCGUACGUUGCCAUGGAGACUCACCUCGCUAAAAAGUGAACCCACGUCGUAGAACAGGCUCCUGGUCUGGAUCCUGGUCUGGAUCCUGGUUUUGUUUUUCUCCUUUUUUUUUUUCUUCGUCAAAAACAGAAAAAAAAACUAAAAUAAUCUUUAAAAAAAAAACAUUUAUGAUUAAAUCAGAUAAAAGUCUCCGCCUCCUC
Molecule: long non-coding RNA, 2920 nt
Filed under: Xyrichtys novacula (pearly razorfish)
Lineage: Eukaryota; Metazoa; Chordata; Actinopteri; Labriformes; Labridae
Source: RNAcentral